CAAGCAUGAGGUCGUCGGUUCGAUCCCGUCUGGCUCCACCAGAUGGUUUGAUCACCAACGGCGUUACCGUCAUCCGCGAAACAUCACUUCGCACUCAUUGGUCCGGAUGGACGGUGACGUGCGUGUUUUCUGACAUCGUAAAGAGGAGAUCGAUCCGAGUUUGGAUCAAGCGAAGCAAUUCGUCUGAACCAUUCAUUAUCUCCGGGAUCAUUUCGGCGCUCGCGCAUCGCAGUUCAUCGCAAGAUGAGUGGGGUGAGCGGGUUGUAAAUGAUCUCUUUUAGCGAAGCUUGACCGCCUCGCUAUCGGGCCGAUCUUACGAACCAAGCUGGUCUUUCUAGUCAAUGUCCGGCUGCGCAAUCGCAUUCAUCGAGGAUGCGUGCCUGGGACUUCGGUCUUCCGGCAGUUGCGCAGAACACAUUCUGCCGAGUGUGUGGACAUUGAUAAUGAGAGCAAUCAAGUGCCUUAAGGGUGUUCGGUGGAUGCCUUGGCGCUGAGAGGCGAUGAAGGACGUGCUACGCUGCGAUAAGCCGUGGGGAGCUGCGAAGAAACUUUGAUCCGCGGAUUUCCGUGGGGGGAAA
Molecule: unclassified non-coding RNA, 578 nt
Filed under: Bradyrhizobium sp. TUTSFWI-63
Lineage: Bacteria; Pseudomonadati; Pseudomonadota; Alphaproteobacteria; Hyphomicrobiales; Nitrobacteraceae
Description: partial contains 16S-23S ribosomal RNA intergenic spacer and 23S ribosomal RNA
Rfam family: Bacterial large subunit ribosomal RNA (bases 452-578)
Source: RNAcentral